GGGGGACUGCUGACUAUAACCAUUUCUCAAAACAGAGGAAGGUUGCGGCAAUAACAGGUCUGUGAUGCCCUCAGAUGUCCCGGGCUGCACACGUGCUACAAUGAGUGGCGCAAUGUGCUAAUGUUUAAGGGAUAAGAGUGUGGUCAGUAGAACGUCGGGAUUUCCCCUGACGUCUCCCCCGCACGAUUAUCAGCCUUCCCUUAACAGGGCGGGCAACCUUUUCAAAAUACUGGUUUGAUGUUAAAGUAUUGAGUCGUUUUUUUUGGAUGGUGGUUUGUUAACCAAUACCAUCCGGCAACUGCUCGCGAGUUUGUGGUUCUGGCGACUCAUGGUGGGGACCGACGUUUGUAAUUUUUUGUCGCGUGUUAACUAGGAAUGCCUUGUACUGUCGAUUCACUAAGUU
Molecule: ribosomal RNA, 403 nt
Filed under: Globigerinoides ruber albus
Lineage: Eukaryota; Foraminifera; Rotaliida; Globigerinidae
Description: partial small subunit ribosomal RNA
Rfam family: Eukaryotic small subunit ribosomal RNA
Source: RNAcentral